RNAcentral lists this long non-coding RNA (204 nucleotides) under Lathyrus oleraceus (garden pea). Its description in RNAcentral is "Pisum sativum (pea) long non-coding RNA (PSAT_LNC013944)". The record is from RNAcentral. Lineage: Eukaryota; Viridiplantae; Streptophyta; Magnoliopsida; Fabales; Fabaceae.
AACCGACUGCCAAUCGCUGGACUUACGUCAGACUCCAAGCAGACAAACACCAAUAGGAUACGGAAUGCCAAUAGCUGGUCUUACAUCCAUCUCCUAACACACAAGAGGGUUAACACACCAACAAGUUACUAAGGAGUCUGGCACUCGAGCCUAGUAACUGUCAAGCAAACACACACAAAAAGAAAAAGGGUGCCCAGAGAGAUC